Xenopus laevis (African clawed frog) is the source of this 45-nucleotide non-coding RNA. Lineage: Eukaryota; Metazoa; Chordata; Amphibia; Anura; Pipidae. The record is from Rfam.
AUAAAGGAUUUUCUCAAAUCCACUCAGGAUCACAGCAUGUAAAGU